Molecule: ribosomal RNA, 2230 nt
Filed under: Millepora squarrosa
Lineage: Eukaryota; Metazoa; Cnidaria; Hydrozoa; Anthoathecata; Milleporidae
Description: bacterial LSU rRNA
Rfam family: Bacterial large subunit ribosomal RNA
Source: RNAcentral
UCAAGCUACAAAGAGCUCAUGGUGGAUACCUAGGCACGCAGAGGCGAAGAAGGACGUAGCUACCAACGAUAUGCUCCGGGGAGCUGGAAGCAAGCAUUGAGCCGGAGGUUUCCGAAUAGGGCAACCUAAAAACGCUUUACUGAAUCAAUAGGUAAAGACGAGCGAACCUGGCAAACUGAAACAUCUUAGUAGCCAGAGGAAAAGAAAGCAAAAGCGAUUCCCUAAGUAGCGGCGAGCGAACAGGGAGCAGCCUAAACCAUUGGCUAAGGCCGAUGGGGUAGUGGGACAGCCAAAAGAGACAGUAGCGGUUAGAUGAAGUAGCUGAAAACUACACCAAAGAAGGUGAAAGUCCUGUAGUCAAAAACUGAAACUGCAACGGUUGGAUCCCGAGUAGCACGGGGCACGUGAAAUCCCGUGUGAAUCAGCCUCGACCACGAGGUAAGGCUAAAUACUACUGCGUGACCGAUAGUGAAAUAGUACCGCGAGGGAAAGGUGAAAAGAACCCCAGACAGGGGAGUGAAAUAGAACAUGAAACCAUGAGCUUACAAGCAAUGGGAGGACGAUUCAACGUCUGACCGUGUGCCUGUUGAAGAAUGAGCCGGCGACUGACAGGCUGUGGCAGGUUAAGGCAAUAGCCGAAGCCAAAGUGAAAGCGAGUCCGAAUAGGGCGAAAGUCACAGUUUGUCGGCCCGAACCCGGGUGAUCUAACCAUGUCCAGGAUGAAGCUUGGGUAAUACCAAGUGAAGGUCCGAACCGACCAACGUUGAAAAGUUGGCGGAUGAGGUGUGGUUAGGGGUGAAAUGCCAAUCGAACCCGGAGCUAGCUGGUUCUCCCCGAAAUGUGUUUAGGCGCAGCGGUUGUGGCAAGGAUUGGGGGGUAAAGCACUGUUUCGCUGCGGGCUGCGAGAGCGGUACCAAAGUGAGGCAAACUCAGAAUACUCAAUUCUCAGCAACCAGUGAGACGGUGGGGGAUAAGCUUCAUCGUCAAGAGGGAAACAGCCCAGACCGCCAGCUAAGGCCCCAAAAUGAUAACUAAGUGAUUAAGGAGGUGGGAGUGCUCGGACAACCAGGAGGUUUGCCUAGAAGCAGCCAUCCUUGAAAGAGUGCGUAAUAGCUCACUGGUCAAGCGCUCCUGCGCCGAAAAUGAACGGGGCUAAGUUAUCUGCCGAAGCUGCGGACUUGAUUUAAGUGGUAGGGGAGCGUUCUGUGUUGGGUGAAGCACUAGCGGCAAGCAGGUGUGGACGGCACAGAAGUGAGAAUGUCGGCUUAAGUAGCGCAAACUAGGGUGAGAAUCCCUAGCCCCGAAACCCUAAGGAUUCCUUCGGAAGGCUCGUCCGCGAAGGGUAAGUCAGGACCUAAGGCGAGGUCGAAAGGCGUAGUCGAUGGACAACGGGUUAAAAUUCCCGUACCGUUUCAGAUUGAUGCCGGGGGACGGAGAAGGUCAACAUGAGCCGGAGAAUGGUAGUUCCGGUGCAAGCAACUGAGGUGAAGACAGACGGAGAAAACGUUUCGAGCUGAGGUGCGAGUCCGACUGACUACGGUGAGGAAGUCAUGAAGGUCAAGCUUCCCAGAAAAGCCCGUAGCAUCAUAAAUCUGAAAUGCCUGUACUAGAAACCGACACAGGUGGGGUGGUAGAGAAUACCGAGGGGCGCGAGAUAACUCUCUCUAAGGAACUCGGCAAAAUGACCCCGUAACUUUGGGAGAAGGGGUACCACCGCAAGGUGGUCGCAGUGAAGAGGCCCAGGCGACUGUUUACCAAAAACAUAGGUCUCCGCCAAGUCGCAAGACGCAGUAUGGGGGCUGACGCCUGCCCAGUGCCGGAAGGUUAAGGAAGUUGGUCAGGAGGUAACUCUGAAGCUGGCGACCGAAGCCCCGGUGAACGGCGGCCGUAACUAUAACGGUCCUAAGGUAGCGAAAUUCCUUGUCGGGUAAGUUCCGACCUGCACGAAUGGCGUAACGACUUCCCCACUGUCUCCAACAUCGGCUCAGCGAAAUUGAACUCCCCGUGAAGAUGCGGGGUACCCGCGGUCAGACGGAAAGACCCCGUGCACCUUUACUACAGCUUUACAGUGGCAUCAGGAUGCGGAUGUGCAGAAUAGGUGGGAGGCUUUGAAACUUGGGCGCCAGCUCAAGCGGAGCCGCCUUUGAGAUACCACCCUUGUGCCUCCUGCUGUCUAACCGAGCUCCGUUAUCCGGAGCCGGGACCCUGUAUGGCGGGUAGUUUGACUGGG